RNAcentral lists this ribosomal RNA (397 nucleotides) under Mataza sp. RNAcentral's name for it is "partial small subunit ribosomal RNA". It matches the Rfam family "Eukaryotic small subunit ribosomal RNA", at positions 582 to 975 of the family's 1831-position model. The record is from RNAcentral. Lineage: Eukaryota; Cercozoa; Thecofilosea.
AUUCCAGCUCCAAUAGCGUAUAUUAAAGUUGUUGCAGUUAAAAAGCUCGUAGUUGGAUUUCUGGCAUGAUGCGCCUGGCCCGCUCCGAUUACGGAUGUGUGUGCUAGUGCGCGUCUGCCAUCCAUUUACAGAAUGUAUCUACCCUUCAUUGGGCCGGAUAUGUGAUGUAAAUCUUUUACUUUGAGAAAAUUAGAGUGUUUAAAGCAGGCAUUUGCUAUGAAUACAUUAGCAUGGAAUAAUAAUCUAGGACUUCGGUUUUAUUUUGUUGGUUUCUAAAUCUGGAGUAAUGAUUGAUAGGGAUAGUUGGGGGUGCUAGUAUUUAGGGGCCAGAGGUGAAAUUCUUGGAUUCUCUAAAGACUAACUUAUGCGAAAGCAUUCACCAAGGAUGUCUUCAUCA